Molecule: long non-coding RNA, 408 nt
Filed under: Anser brachyrhynchus (Pink-footed goose)
Lineage: Eukaryota; Metazoa; Chordata; Aves; Anseriformes; Anatidae
Description: lncRNA (ENSABRG00000019554.1)
Source: RNAcentral
UGCUGUGCCAGACUUCGGACUGUCCCUCUUCCAACCGCGUUCAUUUCUUCCAUCCUGGGCUCCUUUCUCACCACACAGCUCUGAAAAGGUGAGAACACUUUGAGAGGCAUGGCUGAGACCAGCAUUGCCCACAACGCUCAGCACUGCCAAAAGUAGUCAUGGACCUGCCUGUGAUAUCCCCCCAUGGCCGUUGUUACGAGGACCAGUCUCCAGCUGCUGUGUCUCUUAGGGACCAUCGCUGCCUGUUGGUGUGAUGGCUGUCUUGAACAGACAUGGUAUCUGACUCCUUGCAGCUUACCUCCUGGCCUAAUGAUAGGUAACAACAGAACAAUUCAUCCAGGAACAACUUGUUCUCUACCUGCUUGGAUGGGGAGAAAAGAGUUGGUGGUGGGGUACAGAACUUUCUAA